CCUACGGGCGGCAGCAGUAGGGAAUCUUCCACAAUGGGCGAAAGCCUGAUGGAGCAACGCCGCGUGGGUGAAGAAGGUCUUCGGAUCGUAAAACCCUGUUUUCAGAGAAGAAAGUGCGUGAGAGUAACUGUUCACGUUUCGACGGUAUCUAACCAGAAAGCCACGGCUCACUACGUGCCAGCAGCCUCGGUAAUACGAAGGUGGCAAGCGUUAUCCGGAUUUAUUGGGCGUAAAGGGAACGCAGGCGGUCUUUUAAGUCUGAUGUGAAAGCCUUCGGCUUAACCGGAGUAGUGCAUUGGAAACUGGGAGACGUGAGUGCAGAAGAGGAGAGUGGAACUCCAGGUGUAGCGGUGAAAUGCGUAGAUAUAUGGAAGAACACCAGUGGCGAAAGCGGCUCUCUGGUCUGUAACUGACGCUGAGGUUCGAAAGCGUGGGUAGCAAACAGGAUUAGAUACCCGAGUAGUC
This 465-nucleotide ribosomal RNA is filed under the name uncultured bacterium. RNAcentral's name for it is "partial 16S ribosomal RNA". It matches the Rfam family "Bacterial small subunit ribosomal RNA", at positions 338 to 795 of the family's 1533-position model. The record is from RNAcentral.